UAGGGAAUAUUGGUUAAUGGGCGAAAGCCUGAACCAGCAACGCCGCGUGCACGAUGACGGCCUUCGGGUUGUAAAGUGCUUUUUGGAGGGAAGAGGAAGGACGGUACCUCCAGAAUAAGUCUCGGCUAACUACGUGCCAGCAGCCGCGGUAACACGUAGGAGACAAGCGUAUUUCGGAUUUACGUGGCGUACAGCGCGUGCAGGCGGUCUGACAAGUUGGAUGUGAAAGCUACUGGCUUAACUGGGAGAGGUCGUUCAAAACUAUCAGACUAGAGAGUGGUAGAGGAAGGCGGAAUUCCGGGUGUAGUGGUGAAAUGCGUAGAUAUCCGGAGGAACACCAGUGGCGAAAGCGGCCUUCUGGACCAAUUCUGACGCUCAGACGCGAAAGCUAGGGUAGCGAACG
RNAcentral lists this ribosomal RNA (403 nucleotides) under uncultured prokaryote. RNAcentral's name for it is "bacterial SSU rRNA". It matches the Rfam family "Bacterial small subunit ribosomal RNA", at positions 355 to 774 of the family's 1533-position model. The record is from RNAcentral.